UAAUACAUGCAAGUCGAACGCUUUUUCUUUCACCGGAGCUUGCUCCACCGAAAGAAAAGGAGUGGCGAACGGGUGAGUAACACGUGGGUAACCUGCCCAUCAGAAGGGGAUAACACUUGGAAACAGGUGCUAAUACCGUAUAACAAUCGAAACCGCAUGGUUUCGGUUUGAAAGGCGCUUUUGCGUCACUGAUGGAUGGACCCGCGGUGCAUUAGCUAGUUGGUGAGGUAACGGCUCACCAAGGCAACGAUGCAUAGCCGACCUGAGAGGGUGAUCGGCCACAUUGGGACUGAGACACGGCCCAAACUCCUACGGGAGGCAGCAGUAGGGAAUCUUCGGCAAUGGACGCAAGUCUGACCGAGCAACGCCGCGUGAGUGAAGAAGGUUUUCGGAUCGUAAAACUCUGUUGUUAGAGAAGAACAAGGAUGAGAGUAGAAUGUUCAUCCCUUGACGGUAUCUAACCAGAAAGCCACGGCUAACUACGUGCCAGCAGCCGCGGUAAUACGUAGGUGGCAGCGUU
This 520-nucleotide ribosomal RNA is filed under the name Enterococcus avium. RNAcentral describes it as "bacterial SSU rRNA". It matches the Rfam family "Bacterial small subunit ribosomal RNA", at positions 49 to 542 of the family's 1533-position model. Lineage: Bacteria; Bacillati; Bacillota; Bacilli; Lactobacillales; Enterococcaceae. The record is from RNAcentral.